Molecule: ribosomal RNA, 467 nt
Filed under: uncultured bacterium
Lineage: Bacteria
Description: partial 16S ribosomal RNA
Rfam family: Bacterial small subunit ribosomal RNA
Source: RNAcentral
GAUGAACGCUGGCGGCGUGCUUAACACAUGCAAGUCGAACGGAAAGGCCCAAGCUUGCUUGGGUACUCGAGUGGCGAACGGGUGAGUAACACGUGGGUGAUCUGCCCUUCACUUCGGGAUAAGCCUGGGAAACUGGGUCUAAUACUGGAUAGGACCACUUCUUGGAUGUUGUGGUGGAAAGUUUUUUCGGUGUGGGAUGAGCUCGCGGCCUAUCAGCUUGUUGGUGGGGUAAUGGCCUACCAAGGCGUCGACGGGUAGCCGGACUGCGAGGGUGUACCGCCACCUUGGGACCGAGAUACGGCCCCGACUCCUACGGGAGGGCGAUGGGGGGAAGAUUGAACGAGGGGCGCCAGCCUGAUGAAGAGACGCCGCGGGGGGGAUGACGGCCUUCGGGUUGUAAACUCCUUUCGCUAGGGACGAAGCGUUUUGUGACGGUACCUGGAGAAGAAGCACCGGCUAACUACGUG